RNAcentral lists this ribosomal RNA (574 nucleotides) under Bacteroides ovatus. Its description in RNAcentral is "partial 23S ribosomal RNA". It matches the Rfam family "Bacterial large subunit ribosomal RNA", at positions 1118 to 1690 of the family's 2925-position model. The record is from RNAcentral. Lineage: Bacteria; Pseudomonadati; Bacteroidota; Bacteroidia; Bacteroidales; Bacteroidaceae.
UUCAUUUAAAGAGUGCGUAACAGCUCACUAGUCGAGGAGUUUGGCGUGGAUAAUAAUCGGGCAUCAAGCAAUUUACCGAAGCUAUGGGAUCAGUAAUGAUCGGUAGGGGAGCAUUCCACUCUGCGUCGAAGGUGAAGCGUGAGCUUUGCUGGAGCGUGUGGAAAAGCAAAUGUAGGUAUAAGUAACGAUAAAGGGGGUGAGAAACCCCCUCGCCGAAAGACUAAGGUUUCCUGAUCAACGCUAAUCGGAUCAGGGUUAGUCGGGUCCUAAGGCUCAGCCGAACGGUGAGGCCGAUGGCAGAACAGGUUAAUAUUCCUGUACUACCUUAAGGAGUGACGUGGAGACGGAGGAGUGACAGCGCCGCGGACUGACGGAAUAGUCCGUUGAAGGGUGUAGAUGUUGAUUAUCCCAGGCAAAUCCAGGAUAAGAGUCGAACCUGAUAGUAUACCAAAUUCUUCGGAAUAAGGUAAUAGUGCGUGUAAGCAUACUCCCAAGAAAAUCCGCUAAACUUAAUCUUUAAGGUACCCGUACCGCAAACGGACACACGUAGUCGGGUUGAAUAUACUAAGGCGCU